RNAcentral lists this ribosomal RNA (229 nucleotides) under uncultured bacterium. RNAcentral's name for it is "partial 16S ribosomal RNA". It matches the Rfam family "Bacterial small subunit ribosomal RNA", at positions 524 to 748 of the family's 1533-position model. The record is from RNAcentral.
UACGUAGGCAGCAAGCGUUGUUCGGAGUUACUGGGCGUAAAAGGGUGUGUAGGCGGUUCUUUAAGUUUGGUGUGAAAUCUCCCGGCUCAACUGGGAGGGUGCGCCGAAUACUGAGGGACUAGAGUACGGGAGAGGAAAGUGGAAUUCCUGGUGUAGCGGUGAAAUGCGUAGAUAUCGUAAGGAAGACCAGGUGGCGAAGGCGGGUCGUCUGGACAGUUCCGUGACGCUG